This 493-nucleotide ribosomal RNA is filed under the name uncultured Actinomycetes bacterium. RNAcentral's name for it is "bacterial SSU rRNA". It matches the Rfam family "Bacterial small subunit ribosomal RNA", at positions 355 to 859 of the family's 1533-position model. Lineage: Bacteria; Bacillati; Actinomycetota; Actinomycetes. The record is from RNAcentral.
UGGGGAAUAUUGGACAAUGGGCGAAAGCCUGAUCCAGCAACGCCGCGUGAGGGAUGACGGCCUUCGGGUUGUAAACCUCUUUCAGCGGGGACGAAGCGAAAGUGACGGUACCCGCAGAAGAAGGACCGGCCAACUACGUGCCAGCAGCCGCGGUAAUACGUAGGGUCCGAGCGUUGUCCGGAAUUAUUGGGCGUAAAGGGCUCGUAGGCGGUUUGUCACGUCGGGAGUGAAAACACGGGGCUUAACCCCGUGCCUGCUUCCGAUACGGGCAGACUAGAGGUAUGCAGGGGAGAACGGAAUUCCUGGUGUAGCGGUGAAAUGCGCAGAUAUCAGGAGGAACACCGGUGGCGAAGGCGGUUCUCUGGGCAUUACCUGACGCUGAGGAGCGAAAGUGUGGGGAGCGAACAGGAUUAGAUACCCUGGUAGUCCACACCGUAAACGUUGGCGCUAGGUGUGGGACUCAUUCCACGAGUUCCGCGCCGCAGCUAACGCA